RNAcentral lists this transfer RNA (68 nucleotides) under Marmota monax (woodchuck). RNAcentral describes it as "tRNA.Ala". It matches the Rfam family "tRNA". From Rfam's summary of the family: Transfer RNA (tRNA) molecules are approximately 80 nucleotides in length. Their secondary structure includes four short double-helical elements and three loops (D, anti-codon, and T loops). Further hydrogen bonds mediate the characteristic L-shaped molecular structure. tRNAs have two regions of fundamental functional importance: the anti-codon, which is responsible for specific mRNA codon recognition, and the 3' end, to which the tRNAs corresponding amino acid is attached (by aminoacyl-tRNA synthetases). tRNAs cope with the degeneracy of the genetic code in two manners: having more than one tRNA (with a specific anti-codon) for a particular amino acid; and 'wobble' base-pairing, i.e. permitting non-standard base-pairing at the 3rd anti-codon position. The record is from RNAcentral. Lineage: Eukaryota; Metazoa; Chordata; Mammalia; Rodentia; Sciuridae.
GGGGUUGUGGCUCAGCGGUAGAGCGCUUGCCUAGCAUAUGCAAGGCGCUGGGUUCAACCUCAGCACCA